AUGAGUUAAGUAUAAACCCCUUUACAAGUAUCAAUUGGAGGGCAAGUCUGGUGCCAGCAGCCGCGGUAAUUCCAGCUCCAAUAGCGUAUAUUAAAGUUGUUGCAGUUAAAAAGCUCGUAGUUGGAUUUCUGUUAAUAAUUUGUAUAAUAUUUUAACGAUAUUAUAUAAUAUUAACAUAAUUCAUAUUACUAUUUGAUAGUAUAUGAAGUUCUACUUUGAGAAAAUUAGAGUGCUUAAAGCAGGCAUUUGCCUUGAAUACUCCAGCAUGGAAUAAUAUAAAAGAUUUUUAUCUUUUUUAUUGGUUCUAAGAUAAAAAUAAUGAUUAAUAGGGACAGUUGGGGGCAUUUGUAUUUAACAGUCAGAGGUGAAAUUCUUAGAUUUGUUAAAGACAAACUAAUGCGAAAGCAUUUGCCAAGGAUGUUUUCAUUAGUCAAGAACGAAAGUUAGGGGAUCGAAGACGAUCAGAUACCGUCGUAGU
This 478-nucleotide ribosomal RNA is filed under the name Cryptosporidium sp. vole genotype II. RNAcentral's name for it is "SSU rRNA". It matches the Rfam family "Eukaryotic small subunit ribosomal RNA", at positions 514 to 1024 of the family's 1831-position model. Lineage: Eukaryota; Apicomplexa; Conoidasida; Eucoccidiorida; Cryptosporidiidae. The record is from RNAcentral.